CCCGCGCCGCCGCCGGACGCCGCCGCCAACCUCCAGCCCAAGCUGGAGGAGCCGGAGCAGGCCGACUCGGGCAACCUGACCGACAUGGAGCACUGCCAGCUGGAGCUGAUCGACCCUGUGCGGCUAGAGCCCAUCAGUCCGCGCAAAAAGGUGAUACCUCUGGAGCAA
This is a long non-coding RNA of Pollicipes pollicipes, 168 nucleotides long. RefSeq lists it as uncharacterized. The record is from RefSeq and is a predicted model, not a curated record. The transcript is spliced from 3 exons. NCBI's taxonomy places the organism in Eukaryota, Metazoa, Arthropoda, Thecostraca, Pollicipedomorpha, Pollicipedidae.